AAUUAGCGGAUGACCUGUGGCUGGGGGUGAAAGGCCAAUCAAACCGGGAGAUAGCUGGUUCUCCCCGAAAGCUAUUUAGGUAGCGCCUCGUGAACUCAUCUUCGGGGGUAGAGCACUGUUUCGGCUAGGGGGCCAUCCCGGCUUACCAACCCGAUGCAAACUACGAAUACCGAAGAAUGUUAUCACGGGAGACACACGGCGGGUGCUAACGUCCGUCGUGAAGAGGGAAACAACCCAGACCGCCAGCUAAGGUCCCAAAGUCAUGGUUAAGUGGGAAACGAUGUGGGAAGGCACAGACAGCCAGGAUGUUGGCUUAGAAGCAGCCAUCAUUUAAAGAAAGCGUAAUAGCUCACUGGUCGAGUCGGCCUGCGCGGAAGAUGUAACGGGGCUAAACCAUG
RNAcentral lists this ribosomal RNA (398 nucleotides) under Enterobacter hormaechei. RNAcentral's name for it is "partial 23S ribosomal RNA". It matches the Rfam family "Bacterial large subunit ribosomal RNA", at positions 795 to 1191 of the family's 2925-position model. Lineage: Bacteria; Pseudomonadati; Pseudomonadota; Gammaproteobacteria; Enterobacterales; Enterobacteriaceae. The record is from RNAcentral.